AGCUGUUUGGGUUGGGUUGCUUGAAAGAUAUCUUAUUAUGCGGUGUGCCGGAUUGAUUUCAAUGUAAAUAUAUAACGAUUCGUGCUGCUACUGCAUUGUGGUUAUAAUUUUUAUGGAUAUACAACCUAUGACAGAUUAACAUUAGAUUUACAAUUCAAGUUCCAUAUCUUGUGAAUAAAUUAUUACUAUUGUUUUGCUGUUUGAAUAUCACAAAAACAAGCCUUAAAAUUACUAUUGUUUUGCUGUUAUAAUUUUUAUAGAUAUACAACCUAUGACAAAUUAACAUUAGAUUUACAAUUCAAGUUCCAUAUCUUGUGAAUAAAUUAUUACUAUUGUUUUGCUGUUUGAAUAUCACAAAAUGAAGCCUUAAAAUUACUAUUGUUUUGCUGUUAUAAUUUUUUAUAGAUAUACAACCUAUGACAGAUUAAU
Molecule: long non-coding RNA, 429 nt
Filed under: Lathyrus oleraceus (garden pea)
Lineage: Eukaryota; Viridiplantae; Streptophyta; Magnoliopsida; Fabales; Fabaceae
Description: Pisum sativum (pea) long non-coding RNA (PSAT_LNC040468)
Source: RNAcentral